This 468-nucleotide ribosomal RNA is filed under the name uncultured bacterium. RNAcentral's name for it is "partial 16S ribosomal RNA". It matches the Rfam family "Bacterial small subunit ribosomal RNA", at positions 28 to 507 of the family's 1533-position model. The record is from RNAcentral.
GACGAACGCUGGCGGCGUGCUUAACACAUGCAAGUCGAACGGAAAGGCCCUGCUUUUGUGGGGUGCUCGAGUGGCGAACGGGUGAGUAACACGUGAGUAACCUGCCCUUGACUUUGGGAUAACUUCAGGAAACUGGGGCUAAUACCGGAUAGGAGCUCCUGCUGCAUGGUGGGGGUUGGAAAGUUUCGGCGGUUGGGGAUGGACUCGCGGGUUAUCAGCUUGUUGGUGGGGUAGUGGCUUACCAAGGCUUUGACGGGUAGCCGGCCUGGGAGGGUGACCGGCCACAUUGGGACUGAGAGACGGACCAGACUCCUACGGGAGGCAGCAGUGGGGAAUAUUGCACAAUGGGCGGGAGCCUGAUGCAGCAACGCCGCGUGCGGGAAGACGGCCUUCGGGUUGUAAACCGCUUUCGCCUGUGACGAAGCGUGAGUGACGGUAAUGGGUAAAGAAGCACCGGCUAACUACGUG